GACGAACGCUGGCGGCGCGCCUAACACAUACAAGUCGAACGAGCGAGAGAGAGCUUGCUUUCUUGAGCGAGUGGCGAACGGGUGAGUAACGCGUGAGGAACCUGCCUCAAAGAGGGGGACAACAGUUGGAAACGACUGCUAAUACCGCAUAAGCCCACGACCCGGCAUCGGGUUGAGGGAAAAGGAGCAAUCCGCUUUGAGAUGGCCUCGCGUCCGAUUAGCUAGUUGGUGAGGUAACGGCCCACCAAGGCGACGAUCGGUAGCCGGACUGAGAGGUUGAACGGCCACAUUGGGACUGAGACACGGCCCAGACUCCUACGGGAGGCAGCAGUGGGGAAUAUUGCACAAUGGGGGAAACCCUGAUGCAGCGACGCCGCGUGGAGGAAGAAGGUCUUCGGAUUGUAAACUCCUGUUGUUGAGGAAGAUAAUGACGGUACUCAACAAGGAAGUGACGGCUAACUACGUG
This 466-nucleotide ribosomal RNA is filed under the name uncultured bacterium. RNAcentral describes it as "partial 16S ribosomal RNA". It matches the Rfam family "Bacterial small subunit ribosomal RNA", at positions 28 to 507 of the family's 1533-position model. The record is from RNAcentral.